GCGCUCCCCGCGGAGGGUCAGCGUGACCCCGGCAGGCCUGGCAGGGCGCCUCCGCGGGGAGGUCGGGCAGAGAUCCCCGUCCCUGCAACCGCAGCUCGUCCGACCGGCGCUUUCCCGCACGCAGCUCCGCAGCGGGGACCACGGGGCAGGGGCUUCCUCCUGCUUGCUGCAAACCCGGGGGCAGGAACGGGUGUGCGCUCAUGCACCUGCGCGGACGGGGCGGGACGUGCGCCCCCGCCUCCCUCCGAGCCCCGCGACUCCGCCCGGGCUGGGCAGAAGCGGGCGUGAGGCCGCAGCGAGGGAGCUGCGCAGGGGCCACAGGAGGCGGUGCGGGGCGGGAGCCUCAGGCAGAUGUUGGGGCUAAGGAAGGCUCCGUGGGGCUCACUGCGGCCCAGUAAAACCCAGCGCCCCGGAGGGCAGGACAUUUGCGGGUCCCUCUAAUCCGGACGGACGAGCGCCAGCCUGCUGGGUCCCUUCCUGCGGCUGCUGGAGGUGACGCGGGGCCGCAGGACGCGGGGUUCGCUCCCGGCGUCAGCCCUGUGUAGGGGAGUCCACCAGCGGGUCAGGAGGCGACCCUUCGCCCAGCUCCGUGGAGGGGAAGGGAGCCGACCCGGGGCGCAGAACAAGCAGGGGUGUGGUGACGAGGAUGGCGGGCAGAGUGAGGUGGUUUUACACCCAACGUGGGGCUCGAACUUAAAACCCAAGACCAAGCGCUGUAUGCCCCGCCGACUGAGCCACCAGCCGCGACAUCUUUCCUUUUUCUCAAGGGGUGUUCACGACUGUGUUGUUGAGUCUGCUGGCCUUUGCGAAUUUUCCUGCUGUUUCACGACAUGGUGGUCAGAAAAGCUACUCGGUAUGAGAUAUCAGUCCAGGUGUUCCUGAUGAAGUCCCAGAACCUAAGUCAGGUUCGGUGGGGUGAGGAGGUUCGGAGCCGACGACUAAAGAAAGAAUUCUUAAGACGUCAUUGGUGCAAAAUGGUGGUUUAUUAAAGCACGGGGACAGGACCCGUGGGCAGGAAGAGCUGCUGCUGCCCCGGGUUAUGAAGGUGGGCAUGUUAUAUACCCCACGGUUGGGGGGGAGGUGGUGAAGGAAUGGGGGAUUUCGACAGAGUUCUCACAUGCUAGGGAGGGUCUACAAGG
Long non-coding RNA from Mustela lutreola (European mink), 1139 nucleotides. RefSeq lists it as uncharacterized. The record is from RefSeq and is a predicted model, not a curated record. NCBI's taxonomy places the organism in Eukaryota, Metazoa, Chordata, Mammalia, Carnivora, Mustelidae. The transcript has 4 exons.